UUGGCUCGGAUAAAAAGGAUUGCAACAUUGGCAGUACUGUUGAUAGGAUGGUUAGUUUUGGAAGGGGAAUGGUAGUAUGAGAAGAGAUUGAAAACAAGGCUGCAGUGCAAACACUCCUGCUCAACCAAAUUAAGCUCAGUGUCAGCUGUUGAUUAAACAUCGGAUAUACUCCCCCAAAUGACAUCGUUGCACUACACUGGAUCUGACGAGUAGGGAAUCCAGCUAGCUAUCUGAUGGCACUUCCACAUGUAUAAGCUUUGUAUGUCCCUCCUUUUUCUGCAUCUUUGUUUCCAAAGGUCGAGAAAGUAUGUCUCAUCUUUUUCUUUAGAAUUUCUUGCAUGAGACUGACCAUUGUUUCUUCUUUUUCUUUAGGAGCUUAGGUUAUAUUUCUGAGGGGAGCAUACUUAUUAUUACCUUCAUUGGGUUUGACUUUUGGCUACUGUAUUGCUGUCACAACUUACCUGCGAAAUAGAAAGAGAGUCAUGUCUGAUAAGGUAUUCUGCUUCAGCUGUAUGCUUGCAGAGCAUUUAUUUUUCCAUCCAAGUAUUACUAGACUCUAUCAAGUUUUAUAAUGACAUAACAUUAACUUGUUAUAGGAUAUGUACCGAGUAAUUAGUAUGUACAGAAGUGUUGGUUCUUGGUUCUUGCAUGGAGGUGAGUAACCAUGAGGUGGGCAAUUAUGGGUUGCAAACGUUGCUGCUGCCCAUCACCUGGUCCAAUUCAAGCACACCGAGUAGGUUGCCUUGAAUAAAGGGGUUCUCAAAGAUGAUGUCUUUUAGCACGACCAUUUUAUUGAUUUAGUUUCUGUACAAUUUUGGGGCAUCCAAACUUGGCAAGUUUCAUCCUCCAAGUUAAAUUGGGACAAUCCAUUC
This 872-nucleotide long non-coding RNA is filed under the name Triticum aestivum (bread wheat). Its description in RNAcentral is "long non-coding RNA (TAES_LNC005365)". The record is from RNAcentral. Lineage: Eukaryota; Viridiplantae; Streptophyta; Magnoliopsida; Poales; Poaceae.